RNAcentral lists this ribosomal RNA (755 nucleotides) under uncultured bacterium. RNAcentral's name for it is "bacterial SSU rRNA". It matches the Rfam family "Bacterial small subunit ribosomal RNA", at positions 8 to 796 of the family's 1533-position model. The record is from RNAcentral.
AGAGUUUGAUCAUGGCUCAGAAUCAACGCUGGCGGCGCGCUUAACACAUGCAAGUCGCACGAGAAAGGGGGCAACCCUGAGUACAGUGGCGUACGGGUGAGUAACACGUGGAUGAUCUACCUCUUAGUGGGGAAUAACCCUGGGAAACCGGGGCUAAUACCGCAUAAGCUCUAGCGAGGAAAGCAGCAAUGCGCUGAGAGAGGAGUCCGCGGCCGAUUAGCUAGUUGGUAGGGUAAGAGCCUACCAAGGCAGAGAUCGGUAGCCGGCCUGAGAGGGCACACGGCCACACUGGCACUGAAACACGGGCCAGACUCCUACGGGAGGCAGCAGUGGGGAAUCUUGCACAAUGGGGGAAACCCUGAUGCAGCGACGCCGCGUGAGCGAUGAAGCCCUUCGGGGUGUAAAGCUCUUUCGGCAGGGAAGAUGAUGACGGUACCUGCAGAAGCAGCUGCGGCUAACUACGUGCCAGCAGCCGCGGUAAUACGUAGGCAGCGAGCGUUGUUCGGAGUUACUGGGCGUAAAGGGUGUGUAGGCGGUUGUUUAAGUUUGGUGUGAAAUCUCCCGGCUCAACUGGGAGGGUGCGCCGAAUACUGAAUGACUUGGAGUGCGGGAGAGGAGAGUGGAAUUCCUGGUGUAGCGGUGAAAUGCGUAGAUAUCAGGAGGAACACCGGUGGUGUAGACGGCUCUCUGGACCGUAACUGACGCUGAGACACGAAAGCGUGGGUAGCAAACAGGAUUAGAUACCCUAGUAGUCC